AUUUUAAUUAUACUAAUUAAAAUAAGUAAAUUUAAAAAAAUGGGAAAACUUGGCAUGUUUUUAUUUUCUUUCCAUAAAAAGUACUUACCUCAGAAUAUGGGCUACUUAUUUUUAAAAUUUGAAACAAUUACUUUCACUCAAAGAUGUGUGUAAUUUUUUAAAAACAUAGGAAAUCCCUGAGGUUUCAUUUUUCCUGUUCAGAAGUGAUUUGUAAGAGAGUACAGAUUAUCCUGCCUGAUGCCAUGGCGUCUAUUUUUAUCCAUGUGGGCAUGCUGAGAGUGAACUGGGAGGACAUAUUUACUGUUGCUUAGAGUACCUGGUGACGCUGCCUCUCUUUAGAGCUCACUAGAGAGAAGCCGUGUAGCAGCAACAUGUGUUUGUAAUUCACUCGACCAGCUCAUUAGGACAAAACGGGGAGGAAGACUCCACCACGUGGGAUAGAUAAAGUGGAGCGUGUUCAGAGGAAAGCCCUGGAGACACCAGGGAAUGAGGAAGGGCUAUAGAAGCUGGGCUUUAAGAUUUUCAUAGAAGAAACUGAGCCCGUAAAUGCCUGAAGGGCUGGGAUGGAGGGAGAGGGCAUGAAAGAAAGCAGAGCCCCGGCCAAGGGUGCGAAAGUCCUCCCACUGAGGAUCGGGAAGGACUUUCCAGUAGUGAAAUCCUGCCAGCUAGUGUCCUCAAAAGUAAAGAGUUUUCUCAUCAAGAGAAAUUUUCCAGGCUGGGGCUGUCUUACGGGCCUGUCACAGAGUAUCUUGGCUGAGGGCUGGUCUGGACUAGAUUAAGUCCAAGUCCCCUUCUUGCUGACUCGAGAGCAGAUCCAGUGCUCACAGAUCCACUCAGAGAGCCCAGUGAGGGAAGGGUUCCCAGGUGGAGGCUGUGGGCAAGUGAGAAAGGGGCUCAUUCUUCAGUUCCAGCUGAUUGCUUGGGAAUGUGAGCCCCAUUAGGCCAGAUCUUCAGGUUUUUCAGGAAAAGACAGACGUCUAGAUAUUUUAGAUGGACUCUCCUAAGUUUUAAAUAUCGUGUGAGCCAAAUAAAGCUAUCUGUGCCUGCUGGGUCUGGGCCAUGCCUUGUCAGUGUGACCCCUCUGUUCCAGGAUUCUCAGAGUUACAUGAAGUUCAGUCUUUGGGGGACAGGUGGGUGUGAAUUGAAUGAGGAGAAUAGGGUAAGAGCUUAAGGGGCUUCCAGAGAGACCUAGGGCAGGGUAGUAAAGUUGAGGACUAGAAUUGGGUGAGGCAGGGUGAAUGGGCACAGUGAGGAGUGCAGUUUCCUGUCUUGCCUAUUCUGACGUUUCACUUUUAAGCUUUUCUUUUAAAAUAACAUUUGAUGAAGGGAGUACUGGGAAGGUGACUACUUCCUGAGGGUAGAGCUGGAGCAGGGAAUCCAGCCUCCCAGUGGCCCUUUCCUUCUCCAUCCUGCAUUCUCCACCAGCACCACACGCUUUAAGUUGACGCUUGAUGAAAGUCAGAAAAUAGAGGAAACAGGCCCUGAGGGAAAUGAUCUAAUGCAAAGAAUUUUGUGGAAAAGUGGGACAGUUCCCGAAGGAAUGAAUUCGUGGAAGGACACAGAACCCGGAGACGUGUCCUUAGACAGCUGGCGGUGGCCCUGGGCCGCGAUCCCCUCACAGCCCAGCACAGGCCUGCUUCUCUCCCCAUGUUCAUCAGAAAUGUCCCCGACCAGCCGCACAUAAACCAGAUGAGCGUGAAAUGGGAGCCUCUUGAUCUUCAUGAGCCUGCGUAGUCCCCCCGCAUGUCACAGGCCACCGCCGCAGCUGUGCACACUGCUUAGGGCAGCACAGAUGGGCUGAAUCUGAUGCCACAGUGACACCUGUCCUUGGGCUGCGCUCUUCACGAAACUGCCGCCUGAAGACGGGAACACUGACUUGAACUGCGACUCAAGGGGGGACCUUUGUGGGUGGCUUCCCCAGCCCUGGGGAGUGUGUGCGUGUGCACGUGUGGUUGACUGAGGGUGGCAGUGAGAAUGGGAGGAACAAAUGGCUUUCCAGAUGCUCUCUCGUGGCUGAGCCCCUGCGUCUCAAUUCUGAGACCCUGAGCAGGUUAUCUCAUCUCUCUGAGCCUGUCUCUGCCUCCAUAAGGGGACGUGAGAGGAGGCAUGUCAGCACUUGACUGGAUCCAUUUUAUCUCAGGGGUUUCGUUAACACGAUUUGUACAGUGCCUUCAAGUUUUCAAGGAGCUUUUCACAUAUGUGAUCUCACCAGAUUUUCCUAACAGCCAGAGGGUCAUAUGGCCUCAUUUUAUUGAUCAAGGCAUGGAGGCUACAGAGUCAGGCCUGGAAGUUCACAGAUGCAUGGAAAAAGGGAUCCUUUGUAUUCUCCAAAAGUUUGUCCUUCUGUCUGUUGUGCUGACGACAGGGCCCCAUAGUCUGACAUUUACGUUGUCCCAGGCCUCCUUGAGUGCAGUGACGUUCAGGAACCCCCACUGUGCUCCAUCCUGGGUCAGCUCUGGCUGGGAGGAGGGCUGGCAGGGUUACCUGGAUCCCAAGCUCUAAAGCUAGACCCCACGUGUUCACAGCUCCAGUCUCUCACUCACCAGCUUGCUGCGCUGAGGCAAAUGGCUUAACCUCUUGGAACCUGAAUUAUCAUACAUGUAAAAUAAGGACCACCAAAGACUUACCACACGAAGCUAUUGCGAGAAUUCAAUGAAAUGAUCCACACAAGAUGCUUAGCCCAGUACCUGACCCAGUACAUCUUCGCUGUCAUCAUUGCUAUUAUUAUAAUCAUUAGCACUUUCACACUAAGCAUCACCAUCUUCAGAUGAGCUACUUGCCAUAUUUUGGCUGUUAUAAAUUAAGCACAUUUUUAAUAAACUUGAUUUUAGGCUUAAAGUGG
This is a long non-coding RNA of Bubalus bubalis (water buffalo), 2842 nucleotides long. RefSeq lists it as uncharacterized. The record is from RefSeq and is a predicted model, not a curated record. Lineage: Eukaryota; Metazoa; Chordata; Mammalia; Artiodactyla; Bovidae. The transcript is spliced from 2 exons.